This 27-nucleotide small RNA is filed under the name Bombyx mori (domestic silkworm). Its description in RNAcentral is "ovarian small RNA-12649". Lineage: Eukaryota; Metazoa; Arthropoda; Insecta; Lepidoptera; Bombycidae. The record is from RNAcentral.
AUGUCAACUAAAGCAAUCCACUUGGAA